This 463-nucleotide ribosomal RNA is filed under the name uncultured bacterium. RNAcentral describes it as "SSU rRNA". It matches the Rfam family "Bacterial small subunit ribosomal RNA", at positions 26 to 518 of the family's 1533-position model. The record is from RNAcentral.
AGGAUUAACACUGGCGGCGUGCCUGACACAUGCAAGUCGAACGAGGCCGCAAGGCCGAGUGGCGGACGGGUGAGUAACACGUGACCAACCAACCUCGAAGUUGGGAAUAGCUCUGCGAAAGUAGGGGUAAUACCGAAUGUGGCCCAGGGCGGGCAUCCGCCUUGGUCUAAAGAUUCAUCGCUUCGAGACGGGGUCGCGGCCUAUUAGCUUGUUGGUGAGGUAACGGCUCACCAAGGCGAUGAUGGGUAGCUGGUCUGAGAGGACGACCAGCCACACUGGGACUGAGACACGGCCCAGACUCCUACGGGAGGCAGCAGUGAGGAAUCUUCCGCAAUGGGCGAAAGCCUGACGGAGCAACGCCGCGUGUGGGAUGAAGACUCUAGGGUUGUAAACCACUGUCGGAGGGGACGAUCGUGACGGUACCCUCCAAGAAAGCCCCGGCUAACUACGUGCCAGCAGCCGC